Molecule: ribosomal RNA, 1419 nt
Filed under: metagenome
Description: bacterial SSU rRNA
Rfam family: Bacterial small subunit ribosomal RNA
Source: RNAcentral
AGAGUUUGAUCCUGGCUCAGAACGAACGCUGGCGGCAGGCCUAACACAUCAAGUCGAGCGCACUCUUCGGAGUGAGCGGCGGACGGGUUAGUAACGCGUGGGAACAAACCCUUUUCUACGGAAUAGCCUCGGGAAACUGAGAGUAAUACCGUAUACGCCCUUCGGGGGAAAGAUUUAUCGGAGAAGGAUUGGCCCGCGUUUGAUUAGAUAGUUGGUGGGGUAAUGGCCUACCAAGUCUACGAUCAAUAGCUGGUUUGAGAGGAUGAUCAGCAACACUGGGACUGAGACACGGCCCAGACUCCUACGGGAGGCAGCAGUGGGGAAUCUUAGACAAUGGGCGCAAGCCUGAUCUAGCCAUGCCGCGUGAGUGACGAAGGCCUUAGGGUCGUAAAGCUCUUUCGCCAGAGAUGAUAAUGACAGUAUCUGGUAAAGAAACCCCGGCUAACUCCGUGCCAGCAGCCGCGGUAAUACGGAGGGGGUUAGCGUUGUUCGGAAUUACUGGGCGUAAAGCGUACGUAGGCGGAUUAGAAAGUAGGGGGUGAAAUCCCAGGGCUCAACCCUGGAACUGCCUCCUAAACUACUAGUCUAGAGUUCGAGAGGUGAGUGGAAUUCCAAGUGUAGAGGUGAAAUUCGUAGAUAUUUGGAGGAACACCAGUGGCGAAGGCGGCUCACUGGCUCGAUACUGACGCUGAGGUACGAAAGUGUGGGGAGCAAACAGGAUUAGAUACCCUGGUAGUCCACACCGUAAACGAUGAAUGCCAGACGUCGGGGGGCUUGCCCUUCGGUGUCACACCUAACGGAUUAAGCAUUCCGCCUGGGGAGUACGGUCGCAAGAUUAAAACUCAAAGGAAUUGACGGGGGCCCGCACAAGCGGCGGAGCAUGUGGUUUAAUUCGAAGCAACGCGCAGAACCUUACCAACCCUUGACAUCCUCGGACCGCCAGAGAGAUCUGGUUUCCACUUCGGUGGCCGAGUGACAGGUGCUGCAUGGCUGUCGUCAGCUCGUGUCGUGAGAUGUUCGGUUAAGUCCGGCAACGAGCGCAACCCACAUCCUUAGUUGCCAGCAGUUCGGCUGGGCACUCUAGGGAAACUGCCCGUGAUAAGCGGGAGGAAGGUGUGGAUGACGUCAAGUCCUCAUGGCCCUUACGGGUUGGGCUACACACGUGCUACAAUGGCAUCUACAGUGAGUUAAUCUCCAGAAGAUGUCUCAGUUCGGAUUGGGGUCUGCAACUCGACCCCAUGAAGUCGGAAUCGCUAGUAAUCGCGUAACAGCAUGACGCGGUGAAUACGUUCCCGGGCCUUGUACACACCGCCCGUCACACCAUGGGAGUUGGUUCUACCCGACGACGCUGCGCUAACCCUUCGGGGAGGCAGGCGGCCACGGUAGGAUCAGCGACUGGGGUGAAGUCGUAACAAGGUA